Molecule: microRNA, 24 nt
Filed under: Pteropus alecto (black flying fox)
Lineage: Eukaryota; Metazoa; Chordata; Mammalia; Chiroptera; Pteropodidae
Description: pal-miR-10010-3p
Source: miRBase by way of RNAcentral
AGCCUUGUGACUGACGAUCGGACA